GGAAUGACUAAAUGACCUAAAUAUACCUGUAGGCAGCACGACACCUUUAUGUACCUGAGACAUUGUAAUCCCAAAAGACUGCAAUACAAACAAGGCAUGUGUUUGGGACCAGGUAUACCAAGAAUGUACUACUACACCUGUGUUACCUGAAAGGAUUCAUGCCAGUGUCUACUUCCCCUGUCUGGGUCUCUACC
Long non-coding RNA from Magallana angulata, 194 nucleotides. RefSeq lists it as uncharacterized. The record is from RefSeq and is a predicted model, not a curated record. The transcript is spliced from 3 exons. Lineage: Eukaryota; Metazoa; Mollusca; Bivalvia; Ostreida; Ostreidae.